Pocillopora damicornis (cauliflower coral) is the source of this 490-nucleotide long non-coding RNA. The record is from RefSeq and is a predicted model, not a curated record. NCBI's taxonomy places the organism in Eukaryota, Metazoa, Cnidaria, Anthozoa, Scleractinia, Pocilloporidae.
AAAAUCCAAAUUACGUUGGAACAAAGCUCGGUAAAAAACCCAUGAAAAUCGAAAGCACGAGCAUUGCCUAAAAUUAAUGUUUCAUUGGCUACAAAAUGCAAGUGAGCUCAAUUGCAAAAAUGCGAGGGAAAAACCCUUGCAAUUCGAAAGCCAGAUAAAGAGUGGACUGACAGAUGAGACUUUUACCCAGCACAACACCCUCUCUACAUGCGGUGGAACUGUCGAAACUGUCUGCAAAGCGCCAUUGAAACAGGGAAAUGUCGUAGUAACAACCUCAACAAUUUCUUCUCCCCAAGCUACGAAGACGCAUCAUGGGUAACGCACUUGGAAAUACGAGGAUGGCUCUAGAUUAUCCAAGAGAAGUCACAAUACUUGUUAACAAAAUCACAUCUCCUGUUCUGGGAGUUGAGGUUAGAAAAGUGGAAGAUAAAGGAUGCCGCAGUAAACACGACCUAACAAAAAUAAAAGGAUGGACUUAAUGCGUUUUAAA